CGAGCGCUACUUCGGUAGAGCGGCGGACGAGCGAGUAACACGUUGGAACCUACCCCGAACUCAGGGAUAACAUCUAGAAAUAGGUGCUAAUACCGGAUAGUCCCGAAAGGGUAAAGAUUUAUCGGUUUGGGAGGGGCCUGCGGCCUAUCAGCUUGUUGGUAAGGUAAUGGCUUACCAAGGCUAUGACGGGUAACUGGUCUGAGAGGAUGAUCAGUCGCGAUGGGACUGAGACACGGCCCAU
Molecule: ribosomal RNA, 241 nt
Filed under: uncultured bacterium
Lineage: Bacteria
Description: partial 16S ribosomal RNA
Rfam family: Bacterial small subunit ribosomal RNA
Source: RNAcentral